AACGCGAAGAACCUUACCAGCCUUUGACAUCCCGGUCGCGGGCACCAGAGAUGGAGCCCUUCAGUUCGGCUGGACAGAGAGACAGGUGCUGCAUGGCUGUCGUCAGCUCGUGCCGUGAGGUGUUGGGUUAAGUCCCGCAACGAGCGCAACCCUUGUCGUGUGUUGGUCCACAAGAUCUCUCACACGAGACCGCCGGUGACAAGCCGGAGGAAGGUGGGAUGACGUCAAGUCAGCAUGGCCCUUACGUCCAGGGCUACACACGUGCUACAAUGGGAUGGACAGCGAGUCGCGAACCCGCGAGGGCAAGCUAAUCUCUCAAAACCAUUCCUCAGUUCGGAUUGAAGGCUGCAACUCGCCUUCAUGAAGUCGGAAUCGCUAGUAACCGCAGAUCAGCUACGCUGCGGUGAAUACGUUCCCGGGCCUUGUACACACCGACUGUAC
This 441-nucleotide ribosomal RNA is filed under the name uncultured bacterium. RNAcentral's name for it is "bacterial SSU rRNA". It matches the Rfam family "Bacterial small subunit ribosomal RNA", at positions 958 to 1399 of the family's 1533-position model. The record is from RNAcentral.